GGGGAUGUGGAUCAGCGGUAGAGUGCUCACCUAGCACGUGUGAGGUGCUGGAUUCGAUCCUCAGCCCACA
This 70-nucleotide transfer RNA is filed under the name Marmota monax (woodchuck). RNAcentral describes it as "tRNA.Ala". The record is from RNAcentral. Lineage: Eukaryota; Metazoa; Chordata; Mammalia; Rodentia; Sciuridae.